CGUUAAGUUGCAGGGUAUAGACCCGAAACCCGGUGAUCUAGCCAUGGGCAGGUUGAAGGUUGGGUAACACUAACUGGAGGACCGAACCGACUAAUGUUGAAAAAUUAGCGGAUGACCUGUGGCUGGGGGUGAAAGGCCAAUCAAACCGGGAGAUAGCUGGUUCUCCCCGAAAGCUAUUUAGGUAGCGCCUCGUGAAUUCAUCUCCGGGGGUAGAGCACUGUUUCGGCUAGGGGGCCAUCCCGGCUUACCAACCCGAUGCAAACUGCGAAUACCGGAGAAUGUUAUCACGGGAGACACACGGCGGGUGCUAACGUCCGUCGUGAAGAGGGAAACAACCCAGACCGCCAGCUAAGGUCCCAAAGUCAUGGUUAAGUGGGAAACGAUGUGGGAAGGCCCAGACAGCCAGGAUGUUGGCUUAGAAGCAGCCAUCAUUUAAAGAAAGCGUAAUAGCUCACUGGUCGAGUCGGCCUGCGCGGAAGAUGUAACGGGGCUAAACCAUGCACCGAAGCUGCGGCAGCGAACGUAUCACCCAAGACAACUUUACGGAGUUGACGAUUGACGGAGCGAAGCGACGUCAAAGCGUUCAUUAAAGUCGAGUUGGCUUAGGGAUACGUUCGUUGGGUAGGGGAGCGUUCUGUAAGCCUGUGAAGGUGUGUCGUGAGGCAUGCUGGAGGUAUCAGAAGUGCGAAUGCUGACAUAAGUAACGAUAAAGCGGGUGAAAAGCCCGCUCGCCGGAAGACCAAGGGUUCCUGUCCAACGUUAAUCGGGGCAGGGUGAGUCGACCCCUAAGGCGAGGCCGAAAGGCGUAGUCGAUGGGAAACGGGUUAAUAUUCCCGUACUUGGUGUUACUGCGAAGGGGGGACGGAGAAGGCUAUGUUGGCCGGGCGACGGUUGUCCCGGUUUAAGCGUGUAGGUGUGUGUUCCAGGUAAAUCCGGUUCACUUUAACACUGAGGCGUGACGACGAGGCACUACGGUGCUGAAGCAACAAAUGCCCUGCUUCCAGGAAAAGCCUCUAAGCAUCAGGUAACAUCAAAUCGUACCCCAAACCGACACAGGUGGUCAGGUAGAGAAUACCAAGGCGCUUGAGAGAACUCGGGUGAAGGAACUAGGCAAAAUGGUGCCGUAACUUCGGGAGAAGGCACGCUGACACGUAGGUGAAGUGAUUUACUCAUGGAGCUGAAGUCAGUCGAAGAUACCAGCUGGCUGCAACUGUUUAUUAAAAACACAGCACUGUGCAAACACGAAAGUGGACGUAUACGGUGUGACGCCUGCCCGGUGCCGGAAGGUUAAUUGAUGGGGUCAGCGCAAGCGAAGCUCCUGAUCGAAGCCCCGGUAAACGGCGGCCGUAACUAUAACGGUCCUAAGGUAGCGAAAUUCCUUGUCGGGUAAGUUCCGACCUGCACGAAUGGCGUAAUGAUGGCCAGGCUGUCUCCACCCGAGACUCAGUGAAAUUGAACUCGCUGUGAAGAUGCAGUGUACCCGCGGCAAGACGGAAAGACCCCGUGAACCUUUACUAUAGCUUGACACUGAACAUUGAGCCUUGAUGUGUAGGAUAGGUGGGAGGCUUUGAAGUGUGGACGCCAGUCUGCAUGGAGCCGACCUUGAAAUACCACCCUUUAAUGUUUGAUGUUCUAACGUGGACCCGUAAUCCGGGUUGCGGACAGUGUCUGGUGGGUAGUUUGACUGGGGCGGUCUCCUCCUAAAGAGUAACGGAGGAGCACGAAGGUUGGCUAAUCCUGGUCGGACAUCAGGAGGUUAGUGCAAUGGCAUAAGCCAGCUUGACUGCGAGCGUGACGGCGCGAGCAGGUGCGAAAGCAGGUCAUAGUGAUCCGGUGGUUCUGAAUGGAAGGGCCAUCGCUCAACGGAUAAAAGGUACUCCGGGGAUAACAGGCUGAUACCGCCCAAGAGUUCAUAUCGACGGCGGUGUUUGGCACCUCGAUGUCGGCUCAUCACAUCCUGGGGCUGAAGUAGGUCCCAAGGGUAUGGCUGUUCGCCAUUUAAAGUGGUACGCGAGCUGGGUUUAGAACGUCGUGAGACAGUUCGGUCCCUAUCUGCCGUGGGCGCUGGAGAACUGAGGGGGGCUGCUCCUAGUACGAGAGGACCGGAGUGGACGCAUCACUGGUGUUCGGGUUGUCAUGCCAAUGGCACUGCCCGGUAGCUAAAUGCGGAAGAGAUAAGUGCUGAAAGCAUCUAAGCACGAAACUUGCCCCGAGAUGAGUUCUCCCUGAGACUUAGAGUCUCCUGAAGGAACGUUGAAGACGACGACGUUGAUAGGCCGGGUGUGUAAGCGCAGCGAUGCGUUGAGCUAACCGGUACUAAUGAACCGUGAGGCUUAACCUUACAACGCCGAAG
Molecule: ribosomal RNA, 2353 nt
Filed under: Salmonella enterica
Lineage: Bacteria; Pseudomonadati; Pseudomonadota; Gammaproteobacteria; Enterobacterales; Enterobacteriaceae
Description: partial 23S ribosomal RNA
Rfam family: Bacterial large subunit ribosomal RNA
Source: RNAcentral